Molecule: ribosomal RNA, 249 nt
Filed under: uncultured bacterium
Lineage: Bacteria
Description: partial 16S ribosomal RNA
Rfam family: Bacterial small subunit ribosomal RNA
Source: RNAcentral
UACAGAGGGUGCGAGCGUUGUCCGGAAUCACUGGGCGUAAGGGCGCGUAGGUGGCGACGCAAGUCAGUGGUGAAAGCUCGACGCUCAACGUCGAGUCGGCCACUGAUACUGCAUUGCUGGAGCACUGUAGGGCAGGCGGAAUCCGGGUGUAGCGGUGGAAUGCGUAGAGAUCCGGAGGAAGACCGGUGGCGAAGGCGGCCUGCUGGGCAGUUACUGACACUGAUGCGCGACAGCGUGGGGAGCAACAGG